UACGGAGGGUGCGAGCGUUGUUCGGAAUCACUGGGCGUAAAGCGCGUGUAGGCGGCCCGGUAAGUCCGCUGUGAAAGUCGGGGGCUCAACCCUCGAAAGCCGGUGGAUACUGUCGGGCUAGAGUACGGAAGAGGCGAGUGGAAUUCCUGGUGUAGCGGUGAAAUGCGCAGAUAUCAGGAAGAACACCGAUGGCGAAGGCAGCUCUCUGGGACGGUACUGACGCUGAGGCGCGAAAGCGUGGGGAGCGAACAGG
Molecule: ribosomal RNA, 253 nt
Filed under: uncultured bacterium
Lineage: Bacteria
Description: partial 16S ribosomal RNA
Rfam family: Bacterial small subunit ribosomal RNA
Source: RNAcentral